RNAcentral lists this ribosomal RNA (2756 nucleotides) under Cylindrotheca closterium. RNAcentral describes it as "bacterial LSU rRNA". It matches the Rfam family "Bacterial large subunit ribosomal RNA". Lineage: Eukaryota; Bacillariophyta; Bacillariophyceae; Bacillariales; Bacillariaceae. The record is from RNAcentral.
AGAGUUUAUGGGGGAUACCUUGGCAUUCAGAAGCGAUGAAGGACGCGGUUACCAGCGAAAUGCUUCGGGUAGUUGGAAACAAGCUAUGAUCCGGAGGUCUCCGAAUGAGGAAACUUUUUGUACUACUUAUUGAAUAAAUAGAUAAGAAAGAGCCAACCUAGGGAACUGAAACAUCUUAGUACCUAGAGGAAAAGAAAGUAAAAAACGAUUCCCUUAGUAGCGGCGAGCGAAACGGGAGGAGCCUAAACUUAAUUUUAUUAAGGGUAGUGGGACAAUUGUUAAUCGAUUAGGACAAUUAGGUGAACAAGUUGGAAUACUUGACCAAAGAAAGUGAUAGUCUUGUAAUCGAAAAUUGAAAUAAUCAAAUUGAAUCCCAAGUAGCAUGGAGCACGUGAAAUUCCGUGUGAAUCUGCGAGGACCACCUCGUAAGGCUAAAUAUUCCUGAAUGACCGAUAGUGAACAGUACCGUGAGGGAAAGGUGAAAAGAACCCCGGGAGGGGAGUGAAAAGAACAUGAAACCAUAAACUUACAAUCAGUAGGAGGACGACUAAAACGUCUGACUGCGUGCCUGUUGAAGAAUGAGCCGGCGACUUAUAGGUAGUGGCAGGUUAAGGCAAAGAAUGCCGGAGCCAUAGUGAAAGCGAGCCUGAAUAGGGCAUAUGUCACUGGUUAUAGACCCGAACCCGGAUGAUCUAACCAUGGUCAGGUUGAAGCUUAGGUAAUACUAAGUGGAGGACCGAACCGACUGAUGUUAGAAAAAUCAGCGGAUGAACUGUGGUUAGGGGUGAAAUGCCAAUCGAAUUCGGAGCUAGCUGGUUCUCCCCGAAAUGCGUUUUGGCGCAGCGAUAAAUGUUAUAACUUAGGGGUAAAGCACUGUUACGUAUGCGGGCUGGUAAUUCGGUACCAAAUCGUUGCAAACUAAGAAUACUAAGUGUAGAGUUUAUCAGUGAGACUGUGGGGGAUAAGCUCCAUUGUCAAGAGGGAAACAGCCCAGAGCACCAGUUAAGGCCCCUAAAUAAUUACUAAGUGAUAAAGGAGGUGGGAGUGCAUAGACAAUCAGGAGGUUUGCUUAGAAGCAGCAAUCCUUUAAAGAGUGCGUAAUAGCUCACUGAUCGAGUAAACCUGCGCCGAAAAUGUACGGGACUAAGUAAUUUGCCGAAACUGUGCGAUAUAUUUAAAAUAUAUCGGUAGGGGAGCGUUCUGUUGUAGAUUGAAGUAUUAACGUAAGUGGAUAUGGACGAAGCAGAAGUGAGAAUGUCGGCUUGAGUAACGAAAAUAUAGGUGAGAAUCCUAUACCCCGAAAACCCAAGGUUUCCUCCGGAAGGCUCGUCCGCGGAGGGUAAGUCAGGACCUAAGGCGAGGCUGAAAAGCGUAGUCGAUGGAUAACGGGUUAAUAUUCCCGUACCAUUAUUUAUUGAUAACGAGGGACGGAGAAGGCUAAGCUGGCCGGAUAUUGGUUACCGGUUUAAACGUUCGAGGUGUUGAGAAACGGAGAAAACGUUUUGAGCUAAGACGUGAAUACGAGAUGCUACGGCAUUGAAGCAGUGUAUGUCAGACUUCCAAGAAAAGCUCGCAAUGUCUUAAAUAAAUAAUGCCUGUACCAUAACCGACACAGGUGGGUAGGUAGAGUAUACUAAGGGGCGCGAGAUAACUCUCUCUAAGGAACUCGGCAAAAUGACUCCGUAACUUCGGGAGAAGGAGUGCCUUAUUUAUAAGGUUGCAAUAACAAGAUCCAAGCAACUGUUUACCAAAAACACAGGUCUCCGCUAAGUCGUAAGACGAUGUAUGGGGGCUGACGCCUGCCCAGUGCCAGAAGGUUAAAGAAGUUGGUUAGCAUUCGCGAAGCUGAUAACUGAAGCCCUGGUGAACGGCGGCCGUAACAAUAACGGUCCUAAGGUAGCGAAAUUCCUUGUCGGGUAAGUUCCGACCCGCACGAAAGGCGUAAUGAUUUGGAUACUGUCUCGGAGAGGGGCUCGGUGAAAUAGACUUGUCUGUGAAGAUGCGGACUACCUGCACCUGGACAGAAAGACCCUAUGAAGCUUUACUGUAACUUGAAAUUGAAAUUGGACUUUAUUUGCGCAGUAUAGGUGGGAGGCGUUGAGUUAAUUCUUGCGGGAAUUUAGGAGCCAUCAGUGAGAUACCACUCUGGUAAUGUUAGAUUUCUAACUUUGUAUCAUAAUCUGGUCAAAGAACAGUUUCAGGCGGGCAGUUUGACUGGGGCGGUCGCCUCCCAAAUGGUAACGGAGGCGUACAAAGGUUUCCUCUGAACGUGUAGAAAUCGUAUCUAGAGUGUAAAGGCAUAAGGAAGCUUGACUGUGAGACUUACAAGUCGAGCAGGGACGAAAGUCGGUCUUAGUGAUCUGACGGUGCUGAGUGGAAAGGCCGUCACUCAACGGAUAAAAGUUACUCUAGGGAUAACAGGCUGAUCUCCCCCAAGAGUUCACAUCGACGGGGAGGUUUGGCACCUGGAUGUCGGCUCAUCGCAUCCUGGGGCGGUAGUACGUCCCAAGGGUUGGGCUGUUCGCCCAUGAAAGCGGUACGCGAGCUGGGUUCAGAACGUCGUGAGACAGUUCGGUCCAUAUCCGGUGUAGGCGUUAGAAUAUUGAGAGGAGCCUUCUUUAGUACGAGAGGACCGAGAAGGACAUACCUCUGGUGUACCAGUUAUCAUGCCAAUGGUAAACGCUGGGUAGCUAUGUAUGGAGAGGAUAACCGCUGAAAGCAUCUAAGUGGGAAGCCCACCUCAAGAUAAGUAUUCU